UGCCUUCGUGCACUAGCUAGCGGCGGACGGGUGAGUAACACGUAGGCAACCUGCCUGUAAGACCGGGAUAACUACCGGAAACGGUAGCUAAGACCGGAUAAGUGAUCUUCUCGCAUGAGAGGAUCAAGAAACACGGGGCAACCUGUGGCUUACAGAUGGGCCUGCGGCGCAUUAGCUAGUUGGUGGGGUAACGGCUCACCAAGGCGACGAUGCGUAGCCGACCUGAGAGGGUGAUCGGCCACACUGGGACUGAGACACGGCCCAGACUCCUACGGGAGGCAGCAGUAGGGAAUCUUCCGCAAUGGACGCAAGUCUGACGGAGCAACGCCGCGUGAGUGAUGAAGGUUUUCGGAUCGUAAAGCUCUGUGCUGUAGUGAUAGAGGCGUACGCAGAGACUGAUCUACAUCUGACG
RNAcentral lists this ribosomal RNA (412 nucleotides) under Paenibacillus elgii. RNAcentral describes it as "bacterial SSU rRNA". It matches the Rfam family "Bacterial small subunit ribosomal RNA", at positions 75 to 490 of the family's 1533-position model. The record is from RNAcentral. Lineage: Bacteria; Bacillati; Bacillota; Bacilli; Caryophanales; Paenibacillaceae.